Punica granatum (pomegranate) is the source of this 2529-nucleotide non-coding RNA. Lineage: Eukaryota; Viridiplantae; Streptophyta; Magnoliopsida; Myrtales; Lythraceae. The record is from RefSeq and is a predicted model, not a curated record.
CUCUCCUCCCCCAAUCCACCCCUCCCCUUCAAAGUCUUCCCCACUAAAUUCGUCGGCAGCUCUUCACCGUCGGCGGCGGCGGCUCCUCGUCACCGACUCCUCCCCUUCAAACUCUGCCCCCAUCUCUCUCGCUCUCUCUUUCUAAGCGUGUGGAUCACUCUCAGCUCCUCAGGUCCAUGGUCUCCACUGAAUUCCGAGACUCCAACCUUGGUGAAGCCAUUGAAGUUGCCAAUCAAACGGCCUCUAGUUCUUGAGGAGCAGUGAUUAGUAGAAUCUGCAGCAGCACCCGCAUCAAGAUGUGGCGUUGUGUUCAUGGCCUUCGAGCAUCGAGGAGCCUGAAAUCCAGCGUUUCCAGGCUCUUCUCCUCCACCUCGACUUCAGCAAGCUUCCCAUACACCAUAGUUGAUCAUACAUACGAUACAGUUGUUGUGGGAGCAGGAGGCGCUGGCCUGAGAGCAGCGAUUGGACUCUCUGAACAUGGAUUUAACACAGCCUGCAUCACCAAGCUCUUCCCAACUCGCUCACAUACAGUGGCCGCUCAGGGUGGUAUAAAUGCUGCGCUUGGAAACAUGACUGAAGAUGACUGGAGGUGGCACAUGUAUGAUACUGUAAAGGGGAGUGACUGGCUAGGUGAUCAAGAUGCAAUUCAGUACAUGUGUAGAGAGGCACCUAAAGCAGUGAUUGAGCUUGAAAAUUAUGGGCUACCAUUUUCUCGAACGGAAGAUGGAAAGAUUUAUCAACGUGCAUUUGGUGGUCAGAGCCUUAACUUCGGAAAAGGUGGACAAGCAUAUCGUUGUGCGUGCGCAGCAGACAGAACAGGACAUGCAUUGCUGCAUUCUCUUUAUGGUCAAGCUAUGAAGCAUAAUACACAAUUCUUUGUGGAGUACUUUGCGUUGGAGCUAUUGAUGAAUAGUGAUGGUAGCUGUCAAGGAGUAAUUGCACUGAACAUGGAGGAUGGCACUCUACAUCGAUUCCAUGCUGCUUCAACAAUUCUAGCAACUGGGGGUUAUGGCAGAGCAUACUUUUCUGCAACAUCAGCUCAUACAUGCACCGGGGAUGGCAAUGCAAUGGUUGCACGUGCUGGCCUGCCUCUUCAGGAUCUGGAGUUCGUCCAAUUUCAUCCAACAGGAAUAUAUGGUGCUGGGUGCCUCAUUACAGAAGGUUCUCGAGGUGAAGGUGGUAUUCUCAGGAACAGUGAAGGUGAGAGGUUCAUGGAACGUUAUGCCCCUACUGCCAAGGAUCUUGCCUCAAGAGAUGUUGUCUCAAGGUCCAUGACAAUGGAGAUACGGGAAGGUCGUGGUGUAGAAGGACCUCUGAAGGACCACAUAUAUCUUCAUUUGAAUCACUUGCCUCCGGACGUACUUAAGGAGCGGCUUCCUGGUAUCUCAGAAACUGCUGCUAUUUUUGCUGGCGUGGAUGUGACAAAAGAGCCUAUCCCAGUCCUACCAACUGUGCACUAUAAUAUGGGUGGAAUUCCAACGAAUUACCAUGGGGAGGUUGUUACCAUCAAAGGUAAUGAUCCAGAUGCAGUAGUUCCUGGACUGAUGGCUGCAGGAGAGGCAGCAUGUGCAUCUGUUCAUGGUGCUAACCGUCUCGGUGCAAAUUCCCUCCUUGACAUUGUUGUUUUCGGACGAGCUUGUGCUAAUAGGGUAGCGGAGAUUCACAGGCCAGGUGAGAAACAAAAGCCUCUGGAGAAGGAUGCUGGUGAGAAGACCAUCUCUUGGCUGGACAAGAUUAGGAAUUCCAAUGGCUCACUCCCAACUUCAAAGAUCCGACUAAAUAUGCAACGAGUGAUGCAAAACAAUGCUGCAGUUUUCCGUACACAAGAGACGUUAGAGGAAGGUUGUCAGUUAAUUGACAAGGCAUGGGAGAGUUUCCAUGAUGUUAAAUUGAAAGACCGGACUUUGAUAUGGAACUCUGACUUGAUUGAAACCUUGGAGCUGGAAAACCUUUUAAUUAACGCCAGCAUCACGAUGCACUCUGCUGAAGCAAGGAAAGAGAGCAGAGGAGCGCAUGCCCGUGAAGAUUUUACGACGAGGGAUGACGAAAACUGGAUGAAGCACUCAUUAGGAUACUGGGACAAUGAAAAGGUCCGGCUAGAUUACAGGCCUGUACAUAUGAACACAUUAGACGAUGAAGUCGAAUCGUUCCCUCCAAAAGCUCGUGUCUACUAGAUAUAUGAUUAGCAGAUGGAAUGAUGGUUGAUUUUUGUUCACAUGAAUGCAAUAUCUCAAGUCCUGCAAGGGUGUAAACGAUUGGACUGCAAUAAAUAGUUUCGCGUCUGGUAAAUAGUUUGUUGGUGAUUGAUUCUUGAGUGGCGGUUCGUUUCUAACCUUAGACCUGGCCUCUUGAUAUUCUUAAUGACGUCCCAUUUGGUUAAAGUAGGUUUUCCCGCCAAUGCACAGCUCGAUCACAACCCGAAUGUUUUGAUAUGUUGUUGUGACCAGGAAAACCAGAACAUUGUUCUGAUGUUAUGUUGUUUGGAAUAUUAAUAGGAAUUGAAGAUGAAGCCCUAUCAUUAUGGACAUU